UAUUAAGCCUUUAAUCAUUAUAUCUGGACAAGGAAAUUAAUGGCCAAGAUGCAUUUUGCUCGAUGUGUUAUUUGAUAUGUGGGAUGACUUGGCCAAAGUGUCCUUUGUCCAGUGUACUGCCGAUCAGGGGCUAUUGUUUGAUCCCCUGUCCAGUGCUAUAUUUAGGGGACAGCACGUGUGCCUGAUUAGCGAGGGACGGCUGCUCAUCUAUUACUGACCUCCCUCCCGCUGUCACUCUGACGAACAUUUCCCAAAGACAAUGGCAUCUCAUCGACCAGCGACAGUGUUCAAUUUCUUAAUUGCUUACUGAGAGGGGCCAGCUGGGCUUCUGAUAUUCUACCCUGGAUAUACUUCCCCGUCGUAUCACAAUGGCAUCUCAUCGACCAGCGACAGUGUUCAAUUUCUUAAUUGCUUACUGAGAGGGGCCAGCUGGGCUUCUGAUAUUCUACCCUGGAUACAU
Molecule: long non-coding RNA, 460 nt
Organism: Haliotis rubra (blacklip abalone)
Lineage: Eukaryota; Metazoa; Mollusca; Gastropoda; Lepetellida; Haliotidae
Exons: 2
Source: RefSeq, a predicted model, not a curated record